AGAGUUGAUCAUGGCUCAGGAUGAACGCUGGCGGCGUGCCUAACACAUGCAAGUCGAGCGAGAUACUGUUGAACAGAGAUUCGUCAACGGGAUACAGUGGAAAGCGGCGGACGGGUGAGUAACGCGUAGGCAACCUGCCCCUUACACAGGGAUAGCCAUUGGAAACGAUGAUUAAAACCUGAUGACACCUAAUGAUGACAUCUUCGUUAGGUCAAAGAUUUAUCGGUAAGGGAUGGGCCUGCGUCUGAUUAGAUAGUUGGUGAGGUAACGGCCCACCAAGUCAACGAUCAGUAGCCGACCUGAGAGGGUGAUCGGCCACAUUGGAACUGAGACACGGUCCAAACUCCUACGGGAGGCAGCAUGGGGAAUAUUGCACAAUGGGGGAAACCCUGAUGCAGCAACGCCGCGUGAAGGAAGAAGGUCUUCGGAUCGUAAACUUCUGUCCUAGAGGAAGAUAAUGACGGUACUCUUGGAGGAAGCCCCGGCUAACUACGUGCCAGCAGCUGC
This 507-nucleotide ribosomal RNA is filed under the name uncultured bacterium. Its description in RNAcentral is "bacterial SSU rRNA". It matches the Rfam family "Bacterial small subunit ribosomal RNA", at positions 8 to 518 of the family's 1533-position model. The record is from RNAcentral.